This 296-nucleotide ribosomal RNA is filed under the name uncultured bacterium. RNAcentral describes it as "partial 16S ribosomal RNA". It matches the Rfam family "Bacterial small subunit ribosomal RNA", at positions 775 to 1067 of the family's 1533-position model. The record is from RNAcentral.
GGAUUAGAUACCCUGGUAGUCCACGCCGUAAACGAUGUGUGUUAGUUGUUGGGGUCUUAAGGCCUCAGUGACAAAGAGAAAUCAUUAAACACACCGCCUGGGGAGUACGGUCGCAAGAUUAAAACUCAAAGGAAUUGACGGGGACCCGCACAAGCGGUGGAGCAUGUUGUUUAAUUCGAAGCAACGCGAAGAACCUUACCACCCUUUGACAUCCCGGUUGGGAGGAGCAGAGAUGCACCUCUUCAGUUUGGCUGGACCGGUGACAGGUGCUGCAUGGCUGUCGUCAGCUCGUGCCG